CCGCUGCUGCAGCCCGCGGUCCCCAGGGCACGGGCACCGCCCAGCCCGCUGCGGAGACCGGGGGACCGUAGCGGCCGCUUACUGAGUGGGGGGGGGGGGGGUCCGUCGGUGAAGCGGGAAAACACGCCCCCCCCCUCGGUGCGGCCGCAGUGGACCGGCCCAGGGAAAAAGGGAACGCGAGGCCCCUCCCGUCACCACGCGCGGCUGCUCGGGUCGCGCAUGCGCGCGGCGGGGGCGGAGCCUGCGGGCCAGGCGGCGGGAGCGGGCCUCGGGCGCUCUGGCCGGGGUCUCGGGGCCUUGGGCACAGAAGAGCGGAGUGUCGGCGCCUGCUGCCCGACGGGACCCGAGGUAACGCCGCAGGCCGGCUUCUCCCCGCCUGGCCCGAGCCCCUCUCCCGCCUGGGCCGUCGGAGCGAGCCCGCCCCGCCCCCGGAGUCCUGACGACCGCGCGCCGCGACGUGCCCCGCCUCUACCGUCCUCCCGGGGCGGGGCCUGUGGUCCGCGCGGCCCGCGCGCUCGGUUCCGGCCGCCCGGGGAGCACCGCAGGGCGUCGGGAGAGCGACGGGAGUGAGCGUGCGUGGAAGUUGGUCCCGAGGAGGAGGAAGCUUUCGGAGCCCCGGUGCCGCCCCGAUGCGACCUGAACGCGCUUCCGAGGCACGGCUGAGUGGGCCCGCGGGGCUGGAGGCGGAGCGGCGUGGGGCCCCGUCCGCCGUCCUGGUCCGGGGUGCUGCGGCGGCGGCCUCGUGCGCGCGACCAGCCAGAAGGACCCAGAGGGGAGAGGAAUAGUUCUUCCUCCCUACGUGGCUAAGUUCAAAACAGUUGUUUUGUUGAUAAUCGACCUUCAGAGAAUAAACAGCUUGUUUAAUGCUAAUUUGAUCCACGCCCCAUCCUCCACCUGUUCUCUGCUCCAGGACCCUGACCUGACUGGAUUAUAUAAAUAAUCUCCCUCGUACUCUGGCUUCCAGUUGAUUUGGUGAAUGGGGAACCCCAGCAGAGAGCUUUCUGCCUUCCGGGCCUGACCCAUGGAGUAUCUCAGCCUUUGGUGUUCGCCUGAUCCAUGGAGUAUCUCAGCCUUUCGUGUUCGCCUGAUCCAUGGAGUAUCUCAGCCUUUCGUGUUCGCCUGAUCCAUGGAGUAUCUCAGCCUUUCGUGUUCGCCUGAUCCAUGGAGUAUCUCAGCCUUUCGUGUUCGCCUGUGUCUUCCAAUGUCACCCAUGAGCUAAAUCCAAGAAGUGUGCAAAGCUUAGGAUGUCUUCCUGGCAGCCGAGCGUCUCUUUGUGACUUGCUUGGCAGAGUUGGACAAAGUGCCAACAAGUACUGAUUACAGUUAUAAACUCUAGGAUGACCAAUAG
This 1348-nucleotide long non-coding RNA is filed under the name Equus asinus (donkey). Its description in RNAcentral is "lncRNA (ENSEASG00005030392.1)". The record is from RNAcentral. Lineage: Eukaryota; Metazoa; Chordata; Mammalia; Perissodactyla; Equidae.